RNAcentral lists this ribosomal RNA (254 nucleotides) under uncultured bacterium. RNAcentral describes it as "partial 16S ribosomal RNA". It matches the Rfam family "Bacterial small subunit ribosomal RNA", at positions 524 to 776 of the family's 1533-position model. The record is from RNAcentral.
UACGUAGGGGGCAAGCGUUGUCCGGAUUUAUUGGGCGUAAAAGGCUUGUAGGUGGCCACGCCAAGUCGGAUGUGAAAUCUCCCGGCUCAACUGGGGAGGGUCACGCGAUACUGAUCGACUCGAAGGCAGGAGAGGGUAGUGGAAUUCCCGGUGUAGUGGUGAAAUGCGUAGAUAUCGGGAGGAACACCAGUGGCGAAGGCGACUACCUGGCCUGUUCUUGACGCUGAGGCGCGAAAGCUAGGGGAGCAAACGGG